CUCGCCGCAGCCAGCGCGUGACGGCGUCGUGGAAUCGGCUGCCAGCUCUCGGCCGCCAAGUCACUCACAGCGUCGCGAGGCCUCGCGCGAGCCUGGCCGGUCCGCAAGGGGUGGGGAUCCCCCCUCCCGCCCGACAACCAGAACGGGGCCCCCAUGGCCCCGCACCCAUCCCAGCGCAGCCUCGGUAUUGCGCACGGCCCGGGGAGCCGGGGUAAUGGGCCGCCCCCGCCGGGGAAGGACGGGGUCUCCUGCCCUGACGCUGGGCGGAGCGCGGCCCCCACAUCUCGCUCCCCCGGACAGGGUUGGAAGCUUUAGAUCCAUCACACGAAUUCUUGACUCUUGAGCUAACGGAGUAACUAACAGCAGUGGUAAGCCAUCAUUCUCUACAUGAACCAUCACUAGAGAAGGAUGACACAUCUCCAUUGAGUUUCACAGAUAUUUGCUGACAGCAGAGGAAUGUGAGACACUGGAAUACUGGGUUCAGUUCCAGGCUCUGGAGAGGAGCAUGCUCUAGUUGGCACACUCUUUUCUCUCCUGUUGCCCCUGAGGUAGCUUCCUCCUCCACACCGUCUGAAUGUCCAUAAGGGGAAGAGGAACUGAGAGCAUUGGAGAAACAGUCCAGCAGUUGUCAGAUCCUGUAUCCAUCUUAUUGCAGCCAGAAGCAGCAAUUUCAAAUAAAGUCCUCGUCACUGGCUGCAACCCUGGUUUGGAGUGUGCUCAGUGCAGACAAACUGUUCUGAGAAUUUUAGCAGUCAAACUUCAAUAACUCACUACUGAGCCUGUUCAAACAGACGUUGAGAAGGUUUAUAACUUGUCCAGAUCUUCACAGGGAGUGCCAAAGACACAUCCCUGAAACCAGGGCAAGCCCCCAUCUGUUCCAAAUCUUGGAGAAGCUGGAGCUUCCAAAAAUAAAUAAAUAAAGCAAAAACUUGCAACCUAUUCAUUAAGAAGUGUAUAACAACUUGUUUUUCCCUAAUUUCAUUCCUGGAAACUGCUGAUCUGUUUUGGUUUGUUUAUUUUUGCUGAAACUCAGAAACAUUUCAGCCUAAAGCAGACACACCAUAUGGGUACUUUGAGCCUGAACAGUUUAAAUCUGGCAAAAUUAUAAGCAAUUUGAAAACUGUCUUAGUGUUGGACAACCUUAACAAGCUUCAGUACCUGCUCCACCUAUAGAAUAUACAUAAGAGUAAUAUGAAAGCAUAAAUGGAAGAGCAGUUACUAUCUACAUGUAUUAAGUGGCCCCUUCAGUCUCAGAAGUGGGUAUGCCAGCAGGAGAAAGAAAAAACAAUGGUCCUUUCAAGGAGUACAUGCCCCUUGCUGUGUACGUGGAGUACAUGCCCCUUCAGUGCCCUCAUUGUCUUCAAAAGAGGGCUCUGGGUUGAUUUGCUACACUCUUGUGUUUCACCAAAGCAUAUUGGCUCCACAGCACUUAAUAGAAGGGUUUAUAAUCCCACCCCUUGUCCUGGAGCACAGUUCUUCUUCGCGUGUUUGCUCAUAUCGAUUGCAGUUAGUUGUGUAUGUGCGCACCGCAUGCACAGUUGCCGGAAGGGUUUUCCCCUAGCAGCACCUGUCAAGUCGGCUGUGGAGCCCCCUGGAGUCGCACCUUCAUAGUGCCGCAUAUAGGGCCCUGCCAACCCGCCACCUCUCCACUUCUUACCGCCAGUGGCAGUCAUGUCUCGUCUUCACAAGCGAUCCUCUAGCAUAGUCUCUCUGUCAAUAGGUAAAAGGCAGUUUUUUAAAAAGUUGUUUUAUAGUUAGUUUAGGUAUCUGAACUCGGGGGUGUUCUCCUCCACUCCCUCCCCACUUCCACUUCCCUAUUCUGGGCCUGGGGCAUGCCUUGGACCCAGGCUUUAAACCAUGUGGGGUUUGCCAAAAGCCUAUGCCCAAGGGCAACCCACACACAGCUUGUCUAAAGUGCCUGGGAGAGUCCCAUCAAAUGGACAGGUGUAAGAUCUGUAGGAGUUUUCGACCCCGCAUGAGAAAAGAGAGGGACCACAGGUUGAAGCUGCAGCUAAUGGAAGCAGCUCUGUGCCUUCAGUCUGAGUCGAGCCCCACGGAUAUGAUACUGGGCUCCUUGGCAUUGGUGCGCAGCGCACUGACUUCAAUCCAGGAGGUGCUGAGGAAGGACUCAGGUCAGACACCCUCAGCACGAGCACUCCCCGGCGCCGAUGACCAUGGCAAGGGAGCAAUCACAGCACUGAUCACAGUCUCCUGUGCCAAGGAAGAAGUACAGGAAAACGGACACGGGGUGCUCUCCGUCCCAAACAGUGGAAUGGGAGCCGCCCAAGGGAGGGCAAGCUGUGCAGGACCACACCUACCCUCCUGCUCAACAGCCGGCACUGUCAACUCUGGUCCCGCGGCAGGGGACAUUGAGUUGCCACUGGAGGAGACCCAAGUGGAGGAUUUAGACCUUCCCUCCACACCGGAGACUUACAAGGCAGCCUGGGAUCACUCUUAUAACUCUGAAGGUCCACACUCUCCUGAUCAGAGUGAGAGUGCACCGGCACCGAGGCACCACAGUGGCCACCGGUGCAGUCCAAGGGCAAGCCGGCUAUGACUCGGCGCCGAUCUCCAUCUCCCCGGCACCAAUCCCUGGCACCGACGGGCACAGCACUGCCAUGGUCUCCACGCUCGUACUCCUCGGAGUCCAAAUCGGAGAUGGACUCCUGUGUGUCCCAGAGGAGCUGGCACCAUAGCCACCAACGCUCACAGACUGUGAUGGUCUGUGAUGCAGACCUUCCCCCAGUGCCAUGGCCGGCACAAUGGCACGUAUAACCAAUAUAACUUGAAAUCAUGUGAUGCAAUGCUCAAAUUUUCUGACCUGGUCCCACCGGACUCUAAGUCCGAAUUCGCGGCUCUGGUGGAUGAGGGCAAGAUGGUCACCAGGACGUCACUGCAAGCCCCGUUAGACUCAGCAGACUCUGCAAUGCAAGCCGUGUCCUCGGGCAUCGCAAUGCGCCAUUGCUCCUGGCUGCAGACUUUGGGCCUCCCCAGGAAGGUCCAACAGACAAUCCAGGAUCUCCUGUUCAAGGGCUCUACACUAUUCUCAGAGAAAACGGACUCAAGACUCUACAGUUUGAAAGACUCCUGAGCCAUUCUGAGAUUGCUGGGACUGCACACUCCUGCCACCCAGCAUAGACAAUUUAGGCCUCAGCCCACAUCAUGACAAUACCAGGAGCAGUCUUGACAGGACCAUAAUUGCAGGCGACCCAGAAAUCAAAACAGUCAUCACCAACCCCCAACCCCCGAGCAACUGGGGAUCUGGGUCGUCCAGACAACCACCAGGCCCUAAGAAGACCUUUUGAGGAUGCACCUGAGGGCGUUAUACCAGCCUGCCAACCAGAUCCUUCUUUCCCUUUUUUGGAACAUCUAUCCCAUUUCUACAGGCGUGGUCCCAAAUCACCUCAGACCGUUGGGUCCUAUGGUAGAAAUGGGAUAUUCUCUCCAAUUCUCUUCACCCCCCUGCCACCCGUCUUCCCCGUCCCUCUUCAGGGACCCUUCUCAUGAGCAACUCCUUAUGCAGGAGGUACAAACCCUCCUAUCGGCAGUAGCUGUGGAGGAGGUUCCGCUGGAGCUCAGGGAAGGGGGGUUUUACUCCCGGCAUUUCCUAAUACCAAAAACAAAGUGGCACCUCAGACCCAUCUUGGACCUGUGCAAUAUCAACAGGUUCAUGAAAAAACUAAAGUUUUGUAUCGUCUCUUUGGCCACUAUUAUCCCUUCCCUGGAUCCAGGAGAUUGGUAUGCCGCCCUUGACUUGAAGGAUGCAUAUUUCCACAUUUCCCUAACCCCGCCCCACAGGCACUUCCUAAGGUUUGUAGUCGGGGGCACUCACUACCAAUUCACAGUGCUACCGUUCAGCCUAUCAUCAGCACCUCAGGUGUUCACCAAUGUAUGUCGCUCAUGGCCGCCUUUCUGCGAAAAAGGCAGAUUCAGGUAUUCCCAUACCUCGAUGACUGGCUAAUCAAGGGCUGGUCCAGGACACAAGUAGAUCAACAGGUCACCCUGUUAAGAUCCACCUUCAACGCAUUGGGCCUCCUCCUAAACACUCAAAAGUCAAUGCUCACCCCUACUCAAAGAAUAGAGUUUAUAGGGGCGGUGCUAGACUCGAGACAGGCCAGAGCGUUCCUGCCUCAGUCCUGUUUCCAGGCCAUUCACAAUGUCGUACAGAACCUCAGACAAUUACCUAUAACCACAGUAAGAAGUUGCUUGAAACUCCUAGGACACAUGGCAUCUUGCACAUAUGUCGUGCAACACAUGAGGCUCAGACUCAGACCUCUCCAGGUGUAUCGACCAAGCAGGCACAGCCUAGACAAGGUACUUACCCUUCCACCACGGGUUCUCGAGUCUCCUCAGUGAUGGCUCGACCCGCACUUGGUGUGUGCAGGGAUCACCUUUUCCAAACCCCACCCCUUGCUAUGUCUGACCAGUGAUGCCUCUAUCAUGGCGUGGGGAGCGGACCUCGGAGAGCACAGAACUCGGGGCCUCUGGUUUCUGGAGCAACUGCUGCUUCACAUCAAUGUUGGGGAGCUCAGGGCAUUCCGUCUGGCAUUUGAGACCUUUUAGCCUCUCCUGGAGGACAAAUGCAUAUCAGUCCUGACAGAAAAAUACAACAGUGAUGUUUUUUAUCGACAGACAGGGAGGAGCGUGCUCCUCUCCCCUAUGUCAGGAAGUCCUCAAGCUCUGGGAGUUCUGUAUAGCACACUCGAUACUCAUGGAAGCAUCCUAUCUCCCCAGGUCUCAGAACGAGCUAGCAGACCACCUCAGCAGGUCUUUUCAAAAUCAGGAGUGGUCUAUUCACCUGGACGUAAUAAGCAAUAUCUUCCAAUGCUGGGGAGUUCCCCAGAACGAUCUGUUUGCCACAGGGGGCAACAGGAAGUGCCUGCAAUUCUGCUUCUUCCUGAACCACAGCCCGGGCUCAUUGGCAGACGUGUUUCUUCUUCCAUGGAAGGACUACCUCUUCUACACAUUCCCUCUGAUUCUGCUAGUUCACAAGGUCCUUCUCAAGAUCCGGAGCGACGGAAUCUCGGUGAUCCUGGUGGCACCAGCCUGGCCAUGUCAGCAUUGGUACACCAUGCUACUGCAGCUUUCAGUGGAUACUCCAAUUACUCUGCUGUUAGUUCCAGACCUCAUCACUCCACAUCACAGUUGUCUCCAGCAUCCCAAUCUCAAAACUCACCACCUGACGGCUUGGAAGUUGCAUGGUUAAACCUGCUAGAGCUCACAUGCUCAGACCCCAUUAGGGAGGUCCUUUUGGGUAGCAGAAAACCAUUCACCAGAGCUACUUACCUGGCCAAAUGGAAAAGAUUAGCAAUUUGGUGCUUGCAGAGCCAUAUCCCUCCAACGUAAUCGUUGGUUCCCUUUAUCUUGGACUUUAUCCCUUUAUCUUCAACUGCUAAAGUUGAAACAGCAGGGCUUGUCUCACUCCUCGAUGAAGGUUCACCUGGCCGCCAUCUCAGGUUUUCACCCAGGAGAACAUGGCCUCUCUAUCUUCACUAAUCAUGUGGUGCGACGAUUCCUCAAAGGGUUGGACAGGCUGUAUCCUCAAAUCCAACAGCCCACCCCAGCUUCGGACCUUAACCUGGUACUCUUGAGGCUGAUGGGGCCCCUGUUCAAGCCCCCCCAAAAAAAAUCUUGGACAAGACUGACUUGGAAGGUUGAGUCACUGUUCUAGAAACUGGCCAAAGAAAAACAAAUGACCGUGUCAGAGCUGCAGAGCCACUUGGCAUUGCUGCAGCAGAGAGAGAUAUGAAGCUUAAAUUAGAUGGCACAGAAAACAGAUCAGGGAAAAAGAAUGUUAGUGUGACGGGUUUGGUCACAGAGUCCCCCUUGGAACUGUCACCUGACAUGCUGGAAUUACCUUUGAGCCCGUUUUCCCUGCCAGCUUGGGACUCCAGAACCCUGCCUUGUUGAGCCAAACACACUAGCCUUCUGCAACACAGACCCAUGUCUGGUCCACGCCCCCAAAGCUGCAGACUUUAACCAAAAACUGCUCAGCACGCAGACAACCAGUUCCCAAUGGGAUCCAAACCCAAAUAAAUCCGUUUUACUCUGUAUAAAGCUUAUACAGGGUAAACUCAUAAAUUGUCUGCCCUCUAUAACACUGAUAGAGAGAUAUGCACAGCUGUUUGCUCCCCCGGGUAUUAAUCACUUACUCCGGGUUCAUUAAUAAACAAAAGUGAUUUUAUUAAGAAUAAAAAGUAGGAUUUAAGUGGUUUCAAGUAGUAACAGACAGAACAAAGUAAGUCAUCAAGCAAAAUAAAGCAAAAACACACAAGUCUAAGCCUAAUACAUUGAGAAACUGAUUACAGGUUGUGACAAAGUUCCUGCUCUACCUUGGUGGGUCUUGUGCUUAUUGGCGGAUUUGCUCACCUUGGAGCUUCACGGCAGCCCUCAGCUUGGCCGCUUUUCUGAAUUCACAGUCCAGGUCGACUCCUCCUGUGUCUGACCAGGAGUUGGGAGGAUUUGGGGGGAACCCGGGCCCGCCCUCUACUCCGGGUUCCAGCCAAAGGCCCUGUGGAAUGCAGCUGUCUAGAGUGCCUCCUGGAACAGCUGUGCAACAGCUACAACUCCCUCGGCUACUUCCCGAUAGCCUCCUCCCAACACCUUCUUUAUUCUCACCAUAGAACCUUCCUCCUGGUGUCCGACAAUGCUUGUACACCUCGGUCCUCCAACAGUCCGCGUUCUCACUCUCAGCUCCUAGUGCCUCUUGCUUCCAGCUCCUCAUACGCACACCACAAACUGAAGUGAGCUCCUUUUUAAAACCCAGGUGCCCUGAUUAGCCUGCCUUAAUUGAUUCUAGCAGCUUCUUGAUUGGCUGCAGGUUUUCUAAUCAGCCUGUCUUAAUUGUCUCCAGAAGGUUCCUGAUUGUUCUGGAACCUUCUCUAUUACCUUACCCAGGGAAAAGGGACCUACUGAACCUGGGGCUAAUAUAUCUGCCUUCUAUUACUCUCUUGUAGCCAUCUGGCCCGACCCUGUCACAAGGUGAAAUCUCACUCUCCAAGAUGUUCCAAUAAGCUUCUUUCACAGACUCGACUCCUUCCUAGUCUGGGCCCAAUCCUUUCCCCUGGUACAGUCCUUGUUAGUUUCAGCAGACAUCUUAGGUGGAAACUAGGGGUUUUCUCAUGACUGGCAGCAACCUUUGUUCUGUUUGGCACAAGGUGGGAAUCUUUUGUCUCUCUGGGUCCCCAUCCUUCCUUCUAAAAGGAAAAGCAUCAGAUUUAAGAUGGAUUCCAGUAUCAGGUAACAUGUUCACAUGUCCUGUGAGACCCCAGCCUCCAUUCUUCCAGGGCUGGCCCACAUGCACCCAGAAAGGUUUGCAAGUAAACAGACCAUUUACAACCAAUUGUCCUAGUCAGUGGGAGCCGUCAAGCUUCCAAACCACCAUUAAUGGCCCACACUUUGCAUACUUACAGUAGGACCUCAGAGUUAUACUUCAUAUUCCUAGUUUCAGAUACAAGAAUGAUACAUUCAUACAAAUAGGAUGAACACACUCAGUAGAUUAUAAGCUUUGUAAUGAUACCUUACAAGAGACUUUUUGCAUAAAGCAUAUUCCAGUUACAGUAUAUUCACACUCAUAAGCAUAUUUCCAUAAAACAUUAUGGAGUGCAUCGCCCAUUAGAAUUGAAAGGUUGCCUGAAAAAGCUGAAGGAGACAAUCCAGUAUUGUAUCUCAGAACUUUAAUUGCAGAGUUCUUAAAUCUCAGUUUUUUGGAAGAAGUGAAAGUGAACAGAACACAUAGGGGUGUUAUUCCCUCCACUGGGGCCUCAUAUCAGACCAAGAGAUCUGAUUGUGAAAUUUCUUCAUUAAGAGCAAAAAAUAUUGAAGUAUGGGUAAAAAGCAGAGAGCAUCCAGCACUUAUACUGAAAAACCACAAACUGCAUUUUUUUUCAGGCUUUCCUGGAAAGGGGCUGGGGAAAAUUACAGCAGUACUCAGGAGGGCAGAAAUCCACUACAAAUGGGAAUUCCCUUUUAAACUCUCAUUCAGCUUCCAAAAUUGGUAUCAUAUAGUAAGACUUUAAACAAGGAAAAAUAUAUUCUAGUCGCUUGGGAUAGAAAUCCAAAUCUCAGACAUACAGAUGGAUACUCCAGAGGUAGAACCUAAUUAUAAGCUGCUGAAAAAAUAUCUUGGCAGAUGAGGAAAUCCAAGAAGAGGAGGGUGGGGGAGGGGCGGGGAAACAAACUCUGAAGAAUGUACUGGCAGUGGCAGAAGUGAAGCUGAGCAAGAGGGAUUCCUAAUAUCUGAGGAGUAACCUAACAAUUAACUAGAAGGGACUUACUCAGAAUCAUCAGGAACCAAUAGUUGAACAUUAACUAUGUAAAUGUUGUAAAGGAUUGGAGCCUAUCUUAUAGCACCCUCCUCCUACCAGACCAGGUUUUGCUCUUGCUGAGGCAGCUCAUUUCCUGGGGUAGUUCUGUCUCAGCUCUCUCACAGAAUCCAGGAAAGCAGUUUCCAGCAGAGUUAGUUGUUUUUUUAUAUGAAGUCUUCUUAACAAAUCAAAACUUCACAGACUCUUCCCUCAAAAGUCUAUGCAGGCCAAGUAAUCUCUUCUCCUAGUCUGUCCCUCACACCAGUAACUUCAGCAACCCAAAAAUUCCUGGCUCUUGCCUCUGAGCCUCAGUAAUAAAGGACUUCACAUGAUCAUGGAGCGUCUGACCAUUUCAACAUCUUCAUUUCUGUGGUGGAGAGCGUACUGAUUUCUUUUCUAGCAGCUGGCCGGAUUACCAUUCUGUACAUUAAAAUGGAUUGAAUUACAGUUUUAUAUAUGCUACCUUUUAACUGUAUUGGCAUCUUUUUGUCACAAAGAACUGGGGUUAGCUCCCAACAUUUGCACCAAGCAGCUUUUGUAUGAUGCCAUCAUCAGCCACCAUUGAUCCUAGGUAUCUAAAUUCUUUCACUCUUCUAAGCUCUCUGCCUUUUUUAUCCUUUGUGAUGAGUCUUCCUCCCACAAGUACCAUAGCUUUGGUCUUAAUAAUGUUCCUUCUAAGUCCCGCCUGCUCAAAACUAUGUUGCCACGGUUCAAAGUUGACUUGCUGCUCUCAGUCUUCCACACAGACCAUUAAAUCAUCAGCAAACAGUGUGUUCCAAGUCAGCCCUCCCUUAUCACAUCCAUGACAACCACAAACAAAAAGGGACCCCGAUGCAGGCCAACAAUUGCUGGAAAUUCUCUACUGUAGCCGUAUUAGUUUUGACUGUGGUAGUCGUUACAUCAUGCCAGACCUCCAGGAAUAGCUGCCAAAUAGUGCCAAUUUUGAAGUGAUUUGUCAGCUGGAAAGGGAUUCAAAUCAUGAGCCAAGUGACUUGGAAGUUCCAAAUCCAUAUAUAGAUGUCCUUCUGCUAGUAGAAAGUCACUAAGGAACAUACUCAAUAGUUGCAUGCUCAUCAAAGUAAUUGACAGUGAAAGCUGAAUGCCUAUGCAAAAUGAAAUGCUGAUUUAAGUCCAGUACCUGCCCCUCUGUAGUGGUGAUCCGGAUCAGCCAGAACUUCUGUUAAUAAGGGGGUACUUCAGGUCCAAACGGGGAAAAGACAUUAAUAAAACCCUUAUUAACUAUUUCAUGCUGUAACAGUCUUGGGUUUUGUAUCAAGUUGUUGCUGGCUUACUCCCAUUGCAACCAUCGUAAAAAAUAUUUUUAACCUUUUAUUUAACUAAGAAGGAAAAUAGCACAUCUGAAACAAAGAAUUGAAUACGUAACAUUUUCCCUUAAUUCCCUUCCCUUUAACUAUAUAAGAAUCUUUGAUGGUACUGAAUGUUCUUUUGGCAAAAACAGAAGAAAUUCAAGACCAUCUUAACUAAUUUUCUCUUUGUUGAUGAAGAGAAGCUCAAUCCUAUUCCCUUUAAGGCAAAACAAGACAUACACAGAUGGAACAACAGAAAAUACAGCUUCUGUCUUACGUUUUUUACUCACAGACUUGCUACGGAGAAACACAGGCAGCACGCAUCAUUUUAUCAGACACUCUGAAAACUGGGAAACCUACCAGCAUAGGGCUGCUGAAGACACUGCUUUUAGCUUCCUCUCUGCUCACAGGCUUACGGCAGUGUUGCAGAGGGGAAAAUGUCUUGGCUGGUUAUGCCAGAUUCUUAUUCGACAAAAGACAGCAAAAGGACAUUAAGAAAGAGGAGAAAUAAGGUGAGAGAAGAAAAUAAGGGAGAGAAUGAUAGGAGUAACCAAAGGCUCUCAACCCAACAGUUGUUCAGAUUAUAGCCAAGGUGUGAGAAUCUGCAAGUCUGCAACUUGGAUCUGCUGGCACCUGGGCAGCUGCUGUGUCCACGGCACCACCACUGGAGGGCCCAUGGAUGUCUUGACUGGCAGAGCCUGAUUGGCCCAGGCACACUAUUUAAGGCCUAAGGAAAACAUCUGGAAACUAUCUGUGCAACUAGGCAGAUCCCUGGCUUGCUGCUGCAAACAGACCCUGCUGUGCAUUCCUGAUCCCUUGCCUCAUUCCUGAUCCCAGUUCCUGGUCCUCAUCCCUGCUUCUGAUGUUUCACCUUGCCUCUCUUCCACUAACUCUACUUCAUCUUAGAGACUAACCAAUUUAUUUGAGCAUAAGCUUUCGUGUAGCUCACGAAAGCUUAUGCUCAAAUAAAUUGGUUAGUCUCUAAGGUGCCACAAGUACUCCUUUUCUUUUUGUGAAUACAGACUAACACGGCUGUUACUCUGAAAUCUACUUCAUCUGACUCACUUGGCUCCAAUCCAUUGCAGUUCAUCAACAUCAACUCCAUCAUGAUCCUACAGCAUGACUCCAGGACAGAUUGCUGCUUCUGUCUUUGACCCUCUUGACUGAACUCUGAGUAUGUUCUCAGUCCCUUGCCCUCAGGCUCUGGCUUCGACCCCUGCCCCCCAUAAUUGGGGUCCUGACACUAAAUAAGUGGGAUGGUGACAUCUUCUGGUUCCUUCUCAGUGGCCCUCAUCUGGUUAGGGCAAUUAAAGAUCAGAAAAACAAAGGCCUAAUGGUGUCACGGUAGAUUGCAGGUUCCCAAGAUAGACUGGGGGAGGCAGCCCUGAUAGUAAACCUCAUUACUUCCAGUUCAUCCAUGUCACUGAUCCCUUCUUUCGGCAUCCCACAAGAUAAUAUCCAAAAGGAGGAAGCAAACUCAUCCCAUUAAAAUUAACCAAUCAAACCAUAUUUCAAUUAUUUCAACUAUAAACAUCUCCUAUUUCUAGAAUCUUUCAUCUCACUGUUAUGCAAACCUACGAUUUAUUAUAAGCCUUGAAGAUCUGUAUCACAGCUCUUUAACAAGUCAUUUUGUACCAAUAUUUCUGUUUUCAAUGCUGCAUAUUUUAUAAACAAUUUAAUACUGUGAAA
Molecule: RNA transcript, 11302 nt
Organism: Chelonia mydas (Green sea turtle)
Lineage: Eukaryota; Metazoa; Chordata; Testudines; Cheloniidae
Gene name: C2 calcium-dependent domain-containing protein 4C
Exons: 4
Source: RefSeq, a predicted model, not a curated record